RNAcentral lists this ribosomal RNA (408 nucleotides) under uncultured bacterium. Its description in RNAcentral is "partial 16S ribosomal RNA". It matches the Rfam family "Bacterial small subunit ribosomal RNA", at positions 28 to 526 of the family's 1533-position model. The record is from RNAcentral.
GACGAACGCUGGCGGCGUGCUUAACACAUGCAAGUCGAACGAAGUGGCGAACGGGUGAGUAACGCGUAAACAACCUGCCCUUCAGAGGGGGACAACAGUGGGAAACGACUGAUAAUACCGCAUACUGAAGGAGGGGAUGGAGUCUGAGUGGCUAGGUGGGGGGGUAACGGCCCACCAAGGCGAUGAUCAGUAGCCGGUCUGCGAGGGUGAACGGCCCAAAUUGGACUUGGGCACGGCCCAAACUUCUGACGGGGGCAGCCGUGGGGGAUCUUCCGCAAUGGACGGAAGUCUGACGGAGCAACGCCGCGUGAGUGAUGACGGCCUUCGGGUUGUAAAACUCUGUUAAUCGGGACGCGUUACCGGAAUAGAAAGCCACGGCUAACUACGUGCCAGCAGCCGCGGUAAUAC